CGGUUGAUCCUGCCGGAGGUCACCGCUAUUGGAAUCCGAUUAAGCCAUGCGAGUCUAAAGGUCUUCGGACCUUGGCAGACUGCUCAGUAACACGCGGAUAAUCUACCCUUGGGUGGGGCAUAAUCACGGGAAACUGUGCAUAAUACCCCAUAGGUUUAGGAUGCUGGAAUGCUUCUAAGCCGAAAGUUCCGGCGCCCAAGGAUGAGUCUGCGGCCUAUCAGGUAGUAGUGGGUGUAACGGACCCACUAGCCUAAGACGGGUACGGGCCUUGAGAGAGGUAGCCCGGAGAUGGACUCUUAGACACGAGUCCAGGCCCCACGGGGCGCAGCAGGCGCGAAAACUUCACAAUGCAGGAAACUGCGAUGAGGGGAUUCCAAGUGCAUGUGCAUUGCAUAUGCUGUUUUUGUACCUAAAAAGUACUUAGAGUAAGAGCUGGGUAAGACGGGUGCCAGCCGCCGCGGUAAUACCCGCAGCUCGAGUGGUGAUCGUUUUUAUUGAGCCUAAAGCGUCCGUAGCCGGCCCAUUAAAUCCUUGAGUAAAUCGGGCAGCUUAACUGUCCAAAUUUCGAGGAGACUGGUGGGCUUGGGACCGGAAGAAGUCAGAGGUACUCCAGGGGUAGGGGUGAAAUCCUGUAAUCCUUGGAGGACCACCGGUGGCGAAGGCGUCUGACUAGGACGGCUCCGACGGUGAGGGACGAAGCCCUGGGGCGCAAACCGGAUUAGAUACCCGGGUAGUCCAGGGUGUAAACGCUGCAGACUUGGUGUUAGGGAUCCUACGAGGGUGCCUAGUGCCGGAGAGAAGUCGUUAAGUCUGCCGCUUGGGGAGUACGAUCGCAAGAUUGAAACUUAAAGGAAUUGGCGGGGGAGCAC
RNAcentral lists this ribosomal RNA (869 nucleotides) under uncultured archaeon. RNAcentral's name for it is "bacterial SSU rRNA". It matches the Rfam family "Archaeal small subunit ribosomal RNA", at positions 5 to 879 of the family's 1478-position model. The record is from RNAcentral.